GCAGCCGACGGUAAUACGUAGGUGGCAAGCGUUGUCCGGAAUUAUUGGGCGUAAAGCGCGCGCAGGCGGCUUCUUAAGUCCAUCUUAAAAGUGCGGGGCUUAACCCGUGAUGGGAUGGAAACUGAGAGGCUGGAGUAUCGGAGAGGAAAGUGGAAUUCCUAGUGUAGCGGUGAAAUGCGUAGAGAUUAGGAAGAACACCGGUGGCGAAGGCGACUUUCUGGACGACAACUGACGCUGAGGCGCGAAAGCGUGGGGAGCAA
This 260-nucleotide ribosomal RNA is filed under the name uncultured bacterium. RNAcentral describes it as "partial 16S ribosomal RNA". It matches the Rfam family "Bacterial small subunit ribosomal RNA", at positions 511 to 771 of the family's 1533-position model. The record is from RNAcentral.